AUCUUUCUAGUACAAACUAGUAUAAGUGACUUCCAAUUACCCGAUCUUGGUUAAAUUCCAAGGAAAGAUA
Molecule: transfer RNA, 70 nt
Filed under: Luciogobius elongatus
Lineage: Eukaryota; Metazoa; Chordata; Actinopteri; Gobiiformes; Gobiidae
Description: tRNA-Gly
Rfam family: tRNA
About the family: Transfer RNA (tRNA) molecules are approximately 80 nucleotides in length. Their secondary structure includes four short double-helical elements and three loops (D, anti-codon, and T loops).
Source: RNAcentral